CUACCCCGGCGCGGACUCCAGCUUGUCCAAGAAAACACUCUAGUCCUUUUUUCCCCCCUCUCUCUCUCUCUCUCUCUCUCUCCCUCUCUAACUACGUGUCUCCCUCUCUCCCUCUCCCCCUCUCCCUCUCCUCUCUCCUCAGCGCUUUAAUUGCUUUGCGGAGUGUCAUAGCCGGGAAGCAGGGGGAGAGGUGCUGCACACACUUGCACCGGCUGCACCCAGCCAAAAGGCAGCACGUUCACUGGGCUCAGUGUAAACACGGGAUUAGAGCGAGACACGGAGCGCCCAGACCUUCCUGCCCUCUUUUUCCCUCGUUAGGACUUCUUCACACAACUUUGACUCCAUCACGUGAAACAAGAGGACACUGACACAGAGCUGGAGGAAGGGGAAAAAAAAGAGGAAAAAAAAAAAAACCCAGACAGGACCCUGAAAGAAGCUAUCACUGGCCGUCGGAGAGUAGCAGGUUAGUCAAAAUGUUAGCAAAAGGAGGCGAGCGGAAAUGAACGACGCAAAGAAAGUGUGUUUUGUUGUUUGCUUUUUGUAAUGAGGACGACAGCCGCGGUGAGGAUAAAGUCACUUGGUGUCUGGGUUUCUGUCGAAAGUUGUAAACAAAUGCAGCGGCACACAAGCACAAGCAGCAGUGUGGACAGACAUCACGUCAGGGCUUAUCUAACAACGCUGGGCUGAAUGGACACUGAGGAAUACUGAUGAAAAAACAAAGAACAAAAGUGACAAGAGCGACAGAGGGGCCACUCACCCCAGCACAGUGACACGACUCAAACAAAAACAACACACUCAUUAAAAAGCUGCUGAAUAUCAAUGUGAAGAAUGGGAGCUUAAAAGAAGAAAAAAACAUACACAUACAAACACACACACACACACACACACACACACACACACACACACACGCAGACACACCAACUCAUAAAGAUUUUUGUGUUCGGCUUUUGUGUUCAGUAAAAAUCUACUGGGAGUAAAGUUUUUUUUUUGUUUAAAAUACCCAAAAAAGGGGGAAGGAAGAACGAAGGAAGGAGAAAAAAAAGCCUUUGGUCAGUGCCAACUUACCAUCCACCAUGUCCUGGCUGAGAUGUCGUAGCAAAGCUGCCAUUUGAUGGAGCCCUCCGUGGUUUUGCUUGCCAUUAUGCUGUCAGCGAGCUUCAUCUGAUGCUAGUGCACUCACCGGAGAUAAGACACCUAAUUGAGAAAACAUUUGCACUGGCAUGUUGGGCAACAUGUAGCCCGCUCCAUACCAUAUGGAAUCAUGGGUAAAAAAAAAAAAAAAGCCUUGACAAUGAACCAAUCUGGAGCAGCCCCUGUGGCAAGAUCGUUCUGGACAGAGAUGGAGGCUGGAGACAACGCUCAGGAUGAGAAAGACCCCAUCAUGGCAUCAUAAUCAAGCACAUCUAAACUCUAUUUUCUCUUCAUAGUUUCAGUCCCAAGAGGUCCAAGCUCUCUGUGAAUUGUACUGAACAGCCAUGCAGAAAGUGAGUAGAUGAGAUACUAAUACUCAAUACUGAGUGAGUUUUAGUCAAGUAUCUCUCCCAUCAUUUCAAAUGAUAAUUUAGCAGUAGGUGUGAUAUGACCACUGUGAGAGAUUUACAAGUAAAUCAGCUAAAGUAAAAGGAAGAAUGAACACACACUCUUCCUCCUCCUCCUCUCCCUCUCCCUCUCCAUGGUUGGGUUUGCUCCGAGACGGAAUACCUGAGCAGUCAGGGGAGAGCUGCUGUGACCAUCAAACAGUCCCCCCUUUGUCGACGUUACUCAGGAAUUUGAUUCGGUAUCCAGAUAUCCAAAAGGUAGGAGGAGAGAGAGAGGGAGCGAGGGAACAGGUAUGGCCGGUAUGACAUCUACACUAAAUCCAAAUGCAAAGACGGACAUCCAUGCUCCAGUUGACCCAGUUUUAUUUCUCCGCUAAUUUAGCCUGGUCCAGUCGCUUGUUGUGCAGGUUUUUAAAAAGUUUCAUGCUUCAUCUUAAGAGAUCAUUAUAAAGGCUACAAUUUGAAACAAAGUCAAACUAUAUUAAAAGAGUUGUUUACACCCAGAUUGAUUUGGUGUAUUUACAGUGCUUUAUAGAUCACAGAAUAUGAUAGACAAUAAAGUUGAGAGAAAUAAAUGUUUUUUUUUAAUUAUUUGUAAAUUAUACUUUUGGGCUUUUAAAAAAAACUUUCAAAAUAU
Clupea harengus (Atlantic herring) is the source of this 2175-nucleotide long non-coding RNA. The record is from Ensembl. Lineage: Eukaryota; Metazoa; Chordata; Actinopteri; Clupeiformes; Clupeidae.